AUUGAACGCUGGCGGCGUGCUUAACACAUGCAAGUCGUGCGGUAACAGGCGUAGCAAUACGUGCUGACGAGCGGCGAACGGGUGCGUAAUACAUGGGAAUCUGCCUUUUAGUGGGGAAUAACCCGGCGAAAGCCGGGCUAAUGCCGCAUAAGAUCUUCGGAUGAAAGCGGGGGAUCGUAAGACCUCGCGCUGAUAGAUGAGCCCAUGCCGGAUUAGCUAGUGGUGAGGUAACGGCUCACCAAGGCGACGAUCCGUAGCUGGUCUGAGAGGACGGCCAGCCACACUGGGACUGAGACACGGCCCAGACUCCUACGGGAGGCAGCAGUGGGGAAUAUUGGACAAGUGGGGAAGCCCUGAUCCAGCGACGCCGCGUGUGUGAAGAAGGCCUGCGGGUUGUAAA
Molecule: ribosomal RNA, 400 nt
Filed under: uncultured bacterium
Lineage: Bacteria
Description: bacterial SSU rRNA
Rfam family: Bacterial small subunit ribosomal RNA
Source: RNAcentral